CCUCCGUUCUUCAACAGUGAUUAAUAUUUGUCAAUUGACGCAAGUCUGAACCAGCCAUGCCGCGUGCAGGAUGACGGCUCUAUGAGUUGUAAACUGCUUUUGUACGAGGGUAAACCCCGAUACGUGUAUCGGGUUGAAAGUAUCGUACGAAUAAGGAUCGGCUAACUCCGUGCCAGCAGCCGCGGUAAUACGGAGGAUCCGAGCGUUAUCCGGAUUUCUUGGGUUUAAAGGGUGCGUAGGCGGUUUGAUAAGUUAGAGGUGAAAUGGCGGGGCUCAACCCCGAAACUGCCUCUAAUACUGUUGGACUAGAGAAUAGUUGCGGUAGGCGGAAUGUAUGGUGGAGCGGUGAAAUGCUUAGAGAUCAUACAGAACACCGAUUGCGAAGGCAGCUUACCAAACUAUAUCUGACGUUGAGGCACGAAAGCGUGGGUAGCAAACAGGAUUAGAUACCCCUGUAGUC
Molecule: ribosomal RNA, 460 nt
Filed under: uncultured bacterium
Lineage: Bacteria
Description: partial 16S ribosomal RNA
Rfam family: Bacterial small subunit ribosomal RNA
Source: RNAcentral